CCUACGGGAGGCAGCAGUGGGGAAUAUUGGACAAUGGGCGAAAGCCUGAUCCAGCCAUGCCGCGUGUGUGAAGAAGGCCUUCGGGUUGUAAAGCACUUUCAGUGGGGAAGAAAGCCUUGGGGCUAAUACCCUCGAGGAAGGACAUCACCCACAGAAGAAGCACCGGCUAACUCCGUGCCAGCAGCCGCGGUAAUACGGAGGGUGCGAGCGUUAAUCGGAAUUACUGGGCGUAAAGCGCGCGUAGGCGGUCUGAUAAGCCGGUUGUGAAAGCCCCGGGCUCAACCUGGGAACGGCAUCCGGAACUGUCAGGCUAGAGUGCUGGAGAGGAAGGUAGAAUUCCCGGUGUAGCGGUGAAAUGCGUAGAGAUCGGGAGGAAUACCAGUGGCGAAGGCGGCCUUCUGGACUGACACUGACGCUGAGGUGCGAAAGCGUGGGUAGCAAACAGGAUUAGAUACCCGGGUAGUC
This 465-nucleotide ribosomal RNA is filed under the name Vreelandella stevensii. Its description in RNAcentral is "partial 16S ribosomal RNA". It matches the Rfam family "Bacterial small subunit ribosomal RNA", at positions 338 to 795 of the family's 1533-position model. Lineage: Bacteria; Pseudomonadati; Pseudomonadota; Gammaproteobacteria; Oceanospirillales; Halomonadaceae. The record is from RNAcentral.